This 31-nucleotide non-coding RNA is filed under the name Mus musculus (house mouse). Lineage: Eukaryota; Metazoa; Chordata; Mammalia; Rodentia; Muridae. The record is from RNAcentral.
CGGGCAUCUCUUUCUUUAGGUUUGGGAAGGU